Molecule: long non-coding RNA, 245 nt
Organism: Lemur catta (Ring-tailed lemur)
Lineage: Eukaryota; Metazoa; Chordata; Mammalia; Primates; Lemuridae
Exons: 2
Source: RefSeq, a predicted model, not a curated record
CCUCCCUGGCACCGCCUGUGCACCCCUGACAUCGCCUGCGCCUUCUCUGCGUGCCGGCGCCUCCCUGGGUUUUCGGCCACAGCGAAGGAGUGUGUGGCUGCAGCCGCGCUCCCAGCCGGCGGGCGGCCACACCUCCGCCCCUAAGUGCAUGUCUCCGGUAAGGCAUUUAGCUAGAAGGGGCUUCAGUUCCCCACUUCAAGCCACCACUUUCAAAUCCCUCGAAAAAUCAACCACAGCAACCACUU